RNAcentral lists this long non-coding RNA (617 nucleotides) under Cyanistes caeruleus (blue tit). RNAcentral describes it as "lncRNA (ENSCCEG00000002870.1)". The record is from RNAcentral. Lineage: Eukaryota; Metazoa; Chordata; Aves; Passeriformes; Paridae.
UGUAGUAUAUUCUGGAAUAUUUAUUGGUGAAAAAAAAAAAAAAAGAAAGAAAAGAAAUCUCAGAUUUUUCUGAGAACUAUUUUUCCUUCUGUCAAUAGGAAGAGAAGACUUUCCAUAUACCAGUCCCAGUCUAAGUUACAACUGCAUUACAUCUUACAGUCCUGACUUGUGGACUUAAUGGUCCUGAAAUAUUCUUACCUUUGUUUUAUGAAACAUUUCCAAACAACAUUUUUUACUCUCUCAAAGGCUCUGGGUUGUGUUUAUCACUGCCUGUUGGAUGCCAUGGCCAUCGACUUUGGAAAAAAAUUCACCACUUAUUUUGUUCAGAAGAUAUGCAAAUGCAUGUUCACUGUGCCAAAAAAAACCCCAAUCGAGCAGGAAGAAACAAGCACAGAUGAAAUAUGAGAGCAUGGAGAAGCAGCAGGCACUCAGCAGAUUCUUCUCUGGCCCUGUUUCCUCCAGCUAGCAAGAAUAUGGGCAGGAAAAACUCACAAACACACCCCAUCAACAACCCAGGUAACAACCUCAAAAUGAAAAAAUGUAGUGAAAACACAAAAGAUUCAGUCAUCCAUUCUAGCUCUGAAGAAAAUGUAACCCUGUAUUUUUCCUGAGUGAAC